This 453-nucleotide long non-coding RNA is filed under the name Selaginella moellendorffii. RNAcentral's name for it is "long non-coding RNA (SMOE_LNC001426)". The record is from RNAcentral. Lineage: Eukaryota; Viridiplantae; Streptophyta; Lycopodiopsida; Selaginellales; Selaginellaceae.
GAGAGAGCACCGGUAGAAGACGACUUGGUCUGCACUUACUCGAAGUGCUACGGCUUGGUGGUUGUCAGGUCCAGCGGUGUUUCUGAUGGUAAGAUCUCUUGCAAAGAAUCCUUUUCCACUGACAACUGAAAACAUACCAGGUUAGGCAUGCUGGAGGCAAAGAUAUCAGACUUACUAACGGUUGCCGAGUUGAAAGUGGUGACACCCGACUGCUGGACGUUCUUGUUUCCUGUGAUGAUGGUUCGGCCGAUACCGUCUCCAACCAGCAUAAUGUUUAAGGCCUUUUUCGGUAUGAUAACACUUUCUGAGUAAACUCCCGCUCUUACGUAUAUGACGAAUGUUUUGCUGCUUUUGAGGGGUGCAGCAUCUAUGGCGUCUUGAAUCUUCUUGAAGUCCCCAUUUCCAUUUUUCGCAACGACGACGUUCGGGGUGAAAUAAUUUUUCUGCUGCAGC